UGAAACCGUUUAGGGGUAAACCUGAGAAACCCGAAAGAUUGAAGGAAGAAAUUCAUUCGCGUUUCGAUACAGGCAAUGAAGAAUUUAUAUGACGAUGUACAUUUUUAUAUGUAUGACGCAUUAAUUUUUCAUUUGAUCCGGUAACGAACGUGUGCACUUUUCUUCUGGUAGGACGUCGCAAUCCGUUGGGUGUCGAUCUACGAUUUUAUAGUGGAGAUCACUUGUGUCAUAUUUACGUAUGUUACAUAAGUGAACCUGUAUUAUCUGGUCGACGAAAAUUUUUAACACUCCGACGGUAGUCAAAUGGUUUGGGGCCGCUCUCUUUGGAGCGUUCGACUCGUAACAAGCGCGCUAGAUGUGUUGAAGUCCGGACCUAGUGCCGGUCCCAACCUCUAGUGACUGUUCGUUACGAUGUUCUCGAACAGACCUCAUUUAAUUGUGAAAACCGAUUGGCGACGCUAUAGCUUUGGGUACUUUCAGGACCCGUCUUGAAACACGGACCAAGGAGUCUAGCAUGUACGCAAGUCAUUGGGAAUUAUUAAACCUAAAGGCAUAAUGAAAGUAAAGAUCUUUCUUGUAGAGAUCGAGGGAAGAAGAAUGAAUUAAGUUUUUUAUUAGACUGUCAUUCUGCAUUCCCGGGGCGUUUCAUUCUCAUUACGAGUUGAGGCGCACUAAGAGCGUACACGCUGGGACCCGAAAGAUGGUGAACUAUGCCUGGUCAGGAUGAA
This 728-nucleotide ribosomal RNA is filed under the name Xyloterinus politus. RNAcentral's name for it is "partial large subunit ribosomal RNA". It matches the Rfam family "Eukaryotic large subunit ribosomal RNA", at positions 400 to 850 of the family's 3401-position model. The record is from RNAcentral. Lineage: Eukaryota; Metazoa; Arthropoda; Insecta; Coleoptera; Curculionidae.